RNAcentral lists this ribosomal RNA (253 nucleotides) under uncultured bacterium. Its description in RNAcentral is "partial 16S ribosomal RNA". It matches the Rfam family "Bacterial small subunit ribosomal RNA", at positions 524 to 776 of the family's 1533-position model. The record is from RNAcentral.
UACGAAGGGGGCUAGCGUUGUUCGGAAUUACUGGGCGUAAAGCGCGCGCAGGUGGUCUUUCAAGUCAGUGGUGAAAGCCCGGAGCUCAACUCCGGAAAUGCCAUUGAAACUGUCAGACUUGAGGAUGAGAGAGGUGAGUGGAAUUCCCAGUGUAGAGGUGAAAUUCGUAGAUAUUCGGAAGAACACCAGUGGCGAAGGCGGCUCACUGGACCGGCAUUGACGCUGAGGUGCGAAAGCGUGGGGAGCAAACAGG